GCUGCGGUUUGGUCAUGAAUGUGCCGCUUCUGCCGCUCACUGAACAGAGAAGACGCAGAGAGAGACAUUUUUCCACUCACUGAAAGCUAAGGUUUAUCCAAAAAGAUGCUAGUCGCUUUUCUGAAGGAAAAAACUCCAAACUGUGUGUAUGCGUGCACGCGACGUGGGGUCUGUGACAGAUGCAUCUGCACCGCGAGUGUCCGCUGACCGCACGCAUUGAACCCCGUGAUCUGAAAGGAUUGAAAACGGAUGCAGACAUCGCUUUAUUUCUUCUGAACAGAAUAGCGCUCACAAUCACGCACAAGCGUGCAACGGUCGGCGCAUGCGCACGAAACUUCCCCAAACAACAGAACAACAGAAUGGACCACCAGGCAGCGUGACUCAUGAGGAGGCAGUGGACCUGACACUGGCUGUCUCAUUUCCCUCGGGAUCCCUGCCUCUGUCAAUUCAUGGAUCUGGCUGACACGCGUGGGUGUCUUCAUUCACACUUGUGGAUCGGGGGGCGGCUCGGGCAGCAUAUGCUAAAAAACACCAGACAGCAGAGGGUCUUUCCAGAAAGAGACAGAUUGUGGGCACCGUUUGAAUUGAGGGGU
This is a long non-coding RNA of Triplophysa rosa, 593 nucleotides long. RefSeq lists it as uncharacterized. The transcript is spliced from 3 exons. NCBI's taxonomy places the organism in Eukaryota, Metazoa, Chordata, Actinopteri, Cypriniformes, Nemacheilidae. The record is from RefSeq and is a predicted model, not a curated record.